GACAGAGGAUGCAAGCGUUAUCCGGAAUGAUUGGGCGUAAAGCGUCUGUAGGUGGCUUUUCAAGUCCGCCGUCAAAUCCCAGGGCUCAACCCUGGACAGGCGGUGGAGACUACCAAGCUGGAGUAUGGUAGGGGCAGAGGGAAUUUCCGGUGGAGCAGUGAAAUGCAUUGAGAUCGGAAAGAACACCAACGGCGAAAGCACUCUGCUGGGUCGACACUGACACUGAGAGACGAAAGCUAGGGGAGCAAAUGGG
This 253-nucleotide ribosomal RNA is filed under the name uncultured bacterium. RNAcentral's name for it is "partial 16S ribosomal RNA". It matches the Rfam family "Bacterial small subunit ribosomal RNA", at positions 524 to 776 of the family's 1533-position model. The record is from RNAcentral.